AACCAGCUCUUCAAGUGGUCGGGAUAAUUAUUGGGCUUAAAGUGUCCGUAGCCUGUUUAGUAAGUUCUUGGUAAAAUCGGGUAGCUUAACUAUCCGCGUGCUAGGAAUACUGCUAUACUAGAGGGCGGGAGAGGUCUGAGGUACUACAGGGGUAGGGGUGAAAUCUUAUAAUCCUUGUAGGACCACCAGUGGCGAAGGCGUCAGACUGGAACGCGCCUGACGGUGAGGGACGAAAGCCAGGGGAGCGAACCGGAUUAGAUACCCGCGUA
This 269-nucleotide ribosomal RNA is filed under the name uncultured prokaryote. Its description in RNAcentral is "partial 16S ribosomal RNA". It matches the Rfam family "Archaeal small subunit ribosomal RNA", at positions 474 to 743 of the family's 1478-position model. The record is from RNAcentral.